GGAGUUGUGGCUCAGUGGUAGAGCGCUCGCCUUGCACGUGCGAGACUCUAGGUUCCAUCCCUAGCACCA
RNAcentral lists this transfer RNA (69 nucleotides) under Ictidomys tridecemlineatus (thirteen-lined ground squirrel). Its description in RNAcentral is "Spermophilus tridecemlineatus (thirteen-lined ground squirrel) tRNA". It matches the Rfam family "tRNA". From Rfam's summary of the family: Transfer RNA (tRNA) molecules are approximately 80 nucleotides in length. The record is from Rfam by way of RNAcentral. Lineage: Eukaryota; Metazoa; Chordata; Mammalia; Rodentia; Sciuridae.